GACAGCCCAGUUGGUUAAGGCGCCUGUUUGUGAACUUGUGGUCGCGGGUUCGAAACCCGGGUCA
RNAcentral lists this transfer RNA (64 nucleotides) under Helianthus annuus (common sunflower). Its description in RNAcentral is "tRNA-OTHER". Lineage: Eukaryota; Viridiplantae; Streptophyta; Magnoliopsida; Asterales; Asteraceae. The record is from RNAcentral.